This is a long non-coding RNA of Nicrophorus vespilloides, 429 nucleotides long. RefSeq lists it as uncharacterized. Lineage: Eukaryota; Metazoa; Arthropoda; Insecta; Coleoptera; Silphidae. The record is from RefSeq and is a predicted model, not a curated record. The transcript has 2 exons.
AACUAAUCCAGCUCACGAUUGAUUGAUUGUCAAAUGUGAAUCGCAUUUUUACUGGUAACCUAAAAAUUCACGUUAUUAUUAAAUUUAAUCGAAUAAAGUGAAUUAUAUAAAAUGCGUCGUAUCCAAGGAUCAGGUUCAUUCCCGACAAGGGAUCCAGACGAUGAAAAGAAGAAAGCUCGCCAAUCUGUGAUAUCCAACUUGGUGGUGUUCACUGUGCUCAUCUGCGUAAUCAAAACAGUUCCAUUUCUAGUUAGGAGUUCUUGAUGAGAAGAUACUUUAAUGUAUAGUUUUCUUUUGUUCUAAAUGCAUACCUGAUGGGUCCUACAUGUGAUUAUAUUACUUCCCAGGGUGGUGAAUUACUACAAUGUAUAUUAUAUAAAACGAUUUUGUACAAUAUGUAAUAAAUUAAUGAAAUAAUUACAUAACGAA